GAGAGAAGCUGCUGUCUGCUGAACUGGAAAGUCCACACUGCAGACUGGCAACUCUGAGACUGAGGGACUGCAGGUUUUCACAGAUCCGCUGUGCUUCUCUGGCCUCAGCUCUGAAGUCCAACCCCUCACAUCUGAGAGAGCUGGACCUGAGCAGGAACAGCCUGCAGGAUUCAGAUGUGCUGCUGCUGUCAGAUUUUCUGGAGAGUCCACACUGCAGACUGGAGACUCUGGGAUUGAGGCACUGCGGUUUGUCAGAGAUCAGCUGUGCUUCUCUGGCCUCAGCUCUGAAGUCCAACCCCUCCCAUCUGAAAGUACUGGACCUCAGUCACAACAACAAGCUGCAGGAUCCAGAUGUGCUGCUGCUGUGUGGUUUUCUGGAGAGUCCACACUGCAGACUGGAGAC
Long non-coding RNA from Micropterus salmoides (largemouth bass), 403 nucleotides. RefSeq lists it as uncharacterized. Lineage: Eukaryota; Metazoa; Chordata; Actinopteri; Centrarchiformes; Centrarchidae. The transcript is spliced from 3 exons. The record is from RefSeq and is a predicted model, not a curated record.